RNAcentral lists this ribosomal RNA (459 nucleotides) under uncultured Streptococcus sp. RNAcentral describes it as "bacterial SSU rRNA". It matches the Rfam family "Bacterial small subunit ribosomal RNA", at positions 920 to 1382 of the family's 1533-position model. Lineage: Bacteria; Bacillati; Bacillota; Bacilli; Lactobacillales; Streptococcaceae. The record is from RNAcentral.
CCCGCACAAGCGGUGGAGCAUGUGGUUAAUUCGAAGCAACGCGAAGAACCUUACCAGGUCUUGACAUCCCGAUGCUAUUCUAGAGAUAGAAAGUUACUUCGGUACAUCGGUGACAGGUGGUGCAUGGUUGUCGUCAGCUCGUGUCGUGAGAUGUUGGGUUAAGUCCCGCAACGAGCGCAACCCCUAUUGUUAGUUGCCAUCAUUCAGUUGGGCACUCUAGCGAGACUGCCGGUAAUAAACCGGAGGAAGGUGGGGAUGACGUCAAAUCAUCAUGCCCCUUAUGACCUGGGCUACACACGUGCUACAAUGGCCGGUACAAAGAGUUGCGAUACCGCGAGGUGGAGCUAAUCUCAUAAAGCCGGUCUCAGUUCGGAUUGGAGUCUGCAACUCGACUCCAUGAAGUUGGAAUCGCUAGUAAUCGCGGAUCAGCACGCCGCGGUGAAUACGUUCCCGGGCCUU